AAUCGCGCAUCAGCCAUGGCGCGGUGAAUACGUUCCCGGGCCUUGUACACACCGCCCGUCAAGCCAUGGGAGCCGGGGGUGCUUGAAGUGCGUCGCCGCAAGGCGCGCCCUAGAGCAAAACCGGUGACUGGGGCUAAGUCGUAACAAGGUAAC
Molecule: ribosomal RNA, 153 nt
Filed under: uncultured bacterium
Lineage: Bacteria
Description: partial 16S ribosomal RNA
Rfam family: Bacterial small subunit ribosomal RNA
Source: RNAcentral